AGUGAACGCUGGCGGUAGGCCUAACACAUGCAAGUCGAACGGCAGCACAGUAAGAGCUUGCUCUUACGGGUGGCGAGUGGCGGACGGGUGAGGAAUACAUCGGAAUCUACUUUUUCGUGGGGGAUAACGUAGGGAAACUUACGCUAAUACCGCAUACGACCUACGGGUGAAAGCAGGGGAUCUUCGGACCUUGCGCGAUUGAAUGAGCCGAUGUCGGAUUAGCUAGUUGGCGGGGUAAAGGCCCACCAAGGCGACGAUCCGUAGCUGGUCUGAGAGGAUGAUCAGCCACACUGGAACUGAGACACGGUCCAGACUCCUACGGGAGGCAGCAGUGGGGAAUAUUGGACAAUGGGCGCAAGCCUGAUCCAGCCAUACCGCGUGGGUGAGGAAGGCCUUCGGGUUGUAAAGCCCUUUUGUUGGGAAAGAAAGGCAGCAGGUUAAUACCCCGCUGUUCUGACGGUACCCAAAGAAUAAGCACCGGCUAACUUCGUG
This 492-nucleotide ribosomal RNA is filed under the name uncultured bacterium. RNAcentral describes it as "partial 16S ribosomal RNA". It matches the Rfam family "Bacterial small subunit ribosomal RNA", at positions 29 to 507 of the family's 1533-position model. The record is from RNAcentral.